CCGCGAAACUGCGAAUGGCUCAUUAAAUCAGUUAUCGUCUAUUUGAUAGUACCUUACUACUUGGAUAACCGUGGUAAUUCUAGAGCUAAUACAUGCUGAAAACCCCGACUUCGGAAGGGAUGUAUUUAUUUGAUUAAAAACCAAUGCCCUCCGGGGCUCCCUGGUGAUUCAUGAUAACUUCUCGAAUCGCACGGCCUUGCGCCGGCGAUGGUUCAUUCAAAUUUCUGCCCUAUCAACUUUCGACGGCUGGGUCUUGGCCAGCCAUGGUGACAACGGGUAACGGAGGGUUAGGGCUCGACCCCGGAGAAGGAGCCUGAGAAACGGCUACUACAUCUAAGGAAGGCAGCAGGCGCGCAAAUUACCCAAUCCCGACGCGGGGAGGUAGUGACAAUAAAUACUGAUACAGGGCUCUUUAGGGUCGUGUAAUUGGAAUGAGUACAGUUUAAUUCCCUUAACGAGGAACAAUUGGAGGGCAAGUCUGGUGCCAGCAGCCGCGGUAAUUCCAGCUCCAAUAGCGUAUAUUAAAGUUGUUGCAGUUAAAAAGCUCGUAGUUGAACCUUGGGCCUGGCUGGCCGGUCCGCCUCACCGCGUGCACUGGUCCGGCCGGGCCUUUCCCUCUGGGGAGCCGCAUGCCCUUCACUGGGCGUGCCGGGGAACCAGGACGUUUACUUUGAAAAAAUUAGAGUGUUCAAAGCAGGCUUAUGCUCGGAUACAUUAGCAUGGAAUAAUGGAAUAGGACGUGCGGUUCUAUUUUGUUGGUUUCUAGGACCGCCGUAAUGAUUAAUAGGGACAGUCGGGGGCAUCAGUAUUCAAUUGUCAGAGGUGAAAUUCUUGGAUUUAUUGAAGACUAACUACUGCGAAAGCAUUUGCCAAGGAUGUUUUCAUUAAUCAGGAACGAAAGUUAGGGGAUCGAAGACGAUCAGAUACCGUCGUAGUCUUAACCAUAAACUAUGCCGACUAGGGAUCGGACGCUGUUGUCUUUUGACGCGUUCGGCACCUUACACGAAAGUACAA
RNAcentral lists this ribosomal RNA (1014 nucleotides) under Harringtonia lauricola. RNAcentral's name for it is "SSU rRNA". It matches the Rfam family "Eukaryotic small subunit ribosomal RNA", at positions 79 to 1102 of the family's 1831-position model. Lineage: Eukaryota; Fungi; Ascomycota; Sordariomycetes; Ophiostomatales; Ophiostomataceae. The record is from RNAcentral.